UCGGGAAUCUUGGACAAUGGGCGCAAGCCUGAUCCAGCCAUGCCGCGUGGAUGAUGAAGGCCCUAGGGUUGUAAAAUCCUUUCGUCAGGGACGAUAAUGACGGUACCUGAAGAAGAAGCCCCGGCUAACUUCGUGCCAGCAGCCGCGGUAAUACGAAGGGGGCUAGCGUUGUUCGGAAUUACUGGGCGUAAAGCGCAUGUAGGCGGGUCGUUAAGUCGGGGGUGAAAGCCCAGAGCUCAACUCUGGAACUGCCUUCGAUACUGGCGACCUGGACCCAAGGAGAGGCGAGUGGAAUUGCGAGUGUAGAGGUGAAAUUCGUAGAUAUUCGCAGGAACACCAGUGGCGAAGGCGACUCGCUGGACUUGUGGUGACGCUGAGAUGCGAAAGCGUGGGGAGCAAACAGGAUUAGAUACCCAAGUAGUCCCUGAGCGGGCUGGCAAGGCGCAU
This 447-nucleotide ribosomal RNA is filed under the name uncultured bacterium. RNAcentral's name for it is "bacterial SSU rRNA". It matches the Rfam family "Bacterial small subunit ribosomal RNA", at positions 355 to 825 of the family's 1533-position model. The record is from RNAcentral.